RNAcentral lists this long non-coding RNA (968 nucleotides) under Ananas comosus (pineapple). RNAcentral describes it as "long non-coding RNA (ACOM_LNC023757)". Lineage: Eukaryota; Viridiplantae; Streptophyta; Magnoliopsida; Poales; Bromeliaceae. The record is from RNAcentral.
AAAUAAGUAGUUUUGAAAAAUGUUGCCAGUAACAGAGGCUGUGGGAUCGGAGAAAUCAAUUAUUUAAGACAAAUUGUUGCUGAGCACAGCAACAGUGAAUUCCUUUCACAUCUACGAGGGACAUCUCUAUUGAUUCUUGUAGUUAUAAUAAAGCAUAGGUAUAUUUGAAGCCCAAAUAUGCCCCUUUAAGUGGAUAAUAACUGUUGACUAUCCAUCUGAGUGCUAAAAUGUAUUGUUUCCUUUAUUGGGAGCCAGGCAUGAUAGGCGUAGUCGAUUUUUGAAGGAUCUUGUUGAGUUGACCAAGUGCUGAGCUAAUUCAUGAAAUAACCGAUUUGAAACUGCUUCGACUUGUCAUUUCUGAUGUCAUUACUUCCUAAUGCAGUUUCUUUGGCAUGUCUGGAAUUUGAUUUCCUUUUGACUGAUUCUACAUAUUAAUGCAGAUAUUUGUCUUCCACAGUUUGGCUUUGAGUUUUUGGUCUGAACGUGAACGAGCUGUGGUGUCAUAAUCGCUACUUGCUUUCGUUGUAUUAGCUACAGAGUACAUGAAACACUCUCGAGCUCUGGUGUCAUAAUCCCUACUCACUUUCGUUGUAUUAGCUACAGAGUACAUGAACACUCUCGAGCUGUGGUGUCGUAAUCCCUGCUCACUUUUGUUGUGUUAGCUACAGACUACAUGAAACAGUCUCCCAUCAAGGCCUUAUUCUUCUCGCUUGUGUCCUUCAACUGAACUAACAAGCUAUUGCCCAAGUCCACCAGCACAACUCCCCUCCCGACNACAGACUACAUGAAACAGUCUCCCAUCAAGGCCUUAUUCUUCUCGCUUGUGUCCUUCAACUGAACUAACAAGCUAUUGCCCAAGUCCACCAGCACCACUCAUCUGCUUUUUUAACCUUUGCAGCCGGUCAUAAUGGAGUCAACUUGAUCGGCAAUUAUUAUCAGUGGCCUGGACAUAUUACUGUACAGCUCUU